RNAcentral lists this ribosomal RNA (492 nucleotides) under uncultured bacterium. RNAcentral describes it as "partial 16S ribosomal RNA". It matches the Rfam family "Bacterial small subunit ribosomal RNA", at positions 29 to 507 of the family's 1533-position model. The record is from RNAcentral.
AAUGAACGCUGGCGGUAGGCCUAACACAUGCAAGUCGAACGGCAGCACAGUAAGAGCUUGCUCUUACGGGGUGCGAGUGGCGGACGGGUGAGGAAUACAUCGGAAUCUACUUUUUUGUGGGGGUUCACGUAGGGGAACUUACGCUAAUACCGCAUACCACCUACCGGUGAAAGCAGGGGAUCUUUUCACCUUGCGCGAUUGAAUGAGCCGAUGUCGGAUUAGCUAGUUGGCGGGGUAAAGGCCCACCAAGGCGACGAUCCGUAGCUGGUCUGAGAGGAUGAUCAGCCACACUGGAACUGAGACACGGUCCAGACUCCUAAGGGAGGCAGCAGUGGGGAAUAUUGGACAAUGGGCGCAAGCCUGAUCCAGCCAUACCGCGUGGGUGAAGAAGGCCUUCGGGUUGUAAAGCCCUUUUGUUGGGAAAGAAAAGCAGCAGGUUAAUACCCCGCUGUUCUGACGGUACCCAAAGAAUAAGCACCGGCUAACUUCGUG